GUUUCCAAUAGGGGCGUGUAAAGAACUAGUCUGCUCAUAAUUGAAAUUCUCCAGGCAAAUCAGAUAUCAACAUUUUUCAACAGAACAGGUCCAUUACAGACUGGAGAGAAGAAUGGUCCCAGACCUGAAGUACUUUCAUCUUGAACAUGACACAUCUCAAUCAGCAGAUGGGAGAAAAGCCAAAGAGGUAGAUAGGGAGAGGAG
This is a long non-coding RNA of Mauremys reevesii (Reeves's turtle), 204 nucleotides long. RefSeq lists it as uncharacterized. The transcript has 3 exons. The record is from RefSeq and is a predicted model, not a curated record. NCBI's taxonomy places the organism in Eukaryota, Metazoa, Chordata, Testudines, Geoemydidae.